Molecule: RNase P RNA, 397 nt
Filed under: Indibacter alkaliphilus LW1
Lineage: Bacteria; Pseudomonadati; Bacteroidota; Cytophagia; Cytophagales; Cyclobacteriaceae
Description: Bacterial RNase P class A
Rfam family: Bacterial RNase P class A
About the family: Ribonuclease P (RNase P) is a ubiquitous endoribonuclease, found in archaea, bacteria and eukarya as well as chloroplasts and mitochondria. Its best characterised activity is the generation of mature 5'-ends of tRNAs by cleaving the 5'-leader elements of precursor-tRNAs. Cellular RNase Ps are ribonucleoproteins.
Source: Rfam by way of RNAcentral
AGUGCAAGCCGUCUUGUCGCUGUUCCGCUUUGCGGGAGGGAGGAAAGUCCGGGCAACAAAGAGCGCCAUACUUCCUAACGGGAAGGGGUCAAGCUGGGAACGGCUUGGUCACAGAAAGUGCCACAGAAAAUAUACCGCCCCGAUCCGAUCGGGGUAAGGGUGAAAAGGUGGGGUAAGAGCCCACCGCUUCUACAGUGAUGUAGAGGGCACGGCAAACCUUAUGGGUUGAAAGAUCAAAUAGGUCCCGCACCGGAUUCAGUUUCGGAAAAGGCUGCUCGUCUUUCUGCGGGAUGGGUAGAUUGAUGGAUCCCGGUUGUGAAGCCGGGACUAGAUAAAUGACAAGAAACCCAUUUGUAGAAAUGGGGAACAGAACCCGGCUUAUAGGCUUGCACCUUUA